CGGCGGACGGGUGAGUAACGCGUGGGUAACCUACCCCGUACACACGGAUAACAUACCGAAAGGUAUGCUAAUACGGGAUAAUAUAUUUGAGAGGCAUCUCUUGAAUAUCAAAGGUGAGCCAGUACAGGAUGGACCCGCGUCUGAUUAGCUAGUUGGUAAGGUAACGGCUUACCAAGGCGACGAUCAGUAGCCGACCUGAGAGGGUGAUCGGCCACAUUGGAACUGAGACACGGUCCAA
Molecule: ribosomal RNA, 238 nt
Filed under: uncultured bacterium
Lineage: Bacteria
Description: partial 16S ribosomal RNA
Rfam family: Bacterial small subunit ribosomal RNA
Source: RNAcentral